AUUGAACGCUGGCGGCAGGCCUAACACAUGCAAGUCGAACGGUAACAGGAAGCAGCUUGCUGCUUUGCUGACGAGUGGCGGACGGGUGAGUAAUGUCUGGGAAACUGCCCGAUGGAGGGGGAUAACUACUGGAAACGGUAGCUAAUACCGCAUAACGUCGCAAGACCAAAGAGGGGGACCUUAGGGCCUCUUGCCAUCGGAUGUGCCCAGAUGGGAUUAGCUAGUAGGUGGGGUAACGGCUCACCUAGGCGACGAUCCCUAGCUGGUCUGAGAGGAUGACCAGCCACACUGGAACUGAGACACGGUCCAGACUCCUACGGGAGGCAGCAGUGGGGAAUAUUGCACAACGGGCGCAAGCCUGAUGCAGCCAUGCCGCGUGUAUGAAGAAGGCCUUCGGGUUGUAAAGUACUUUCAGCGGGUAGGAAGGGAGUAAAGUUAAUACCUUUGCUCAUUGACGUUACCCGCAGAAGAAGCACCGGCUAACUCCGUG
RNAcentral lists this ribosomal RNA (490 nucleotides) under uncultured bacterium. RNAcentral's name for it is "partial 16S ribosomal RNA". It matches the Rfam family "Bacterial small subunit ribosomal RNA", at positions 30 to 507 of the family's 1533-position model. The record is from RNAcentral.